ACAGAAACUAACAGGAGAGGAUGUUAUUUGUUACAAACCUUUUUAUUAAGAUAUUCAGAUUUUUUUCUUUUUUCCCCACUUUUUUUUUUACAGUAGUUAAUGUGCAAUUAUCAUUUUUAUUAUUGGGUCACAGUAAGGAAUUCACAAAGUUAUUGGCACUUGGAACACAGAAUAAACACUGGCAUGUACUUGGGGAUAGGGGCACGUGGGCUGAUGGCAGGAAGGAAAAGGGUUUUUUUAGGGGUGGGUCUUUGACAUCAGUAGACACUACUGCAUUUGAUUUUUCCCCAAAAAGUAAAAAGCGGUUUUGGGGGAAGGGUAAGGUUUUGUUUUUGUUGUUUUUUUUGUAUUUUUUUUUAUACCUCAUGCUUGUGAAUGCACAACUAACAAUCAAACUUCAUUAGUGCUUCUAUGUAAAAUGUACAGUAUAUAUAUAUAUUUAUAUAUAUUUAUAGUGUGGGGGAGAGAAAGACAGGUCUGAGAAGCCCAGACCACACCAGAGACAUCGCUAAGCAAGAGAAGAAGCCCUCUUCGUUGCUAUAGCGACACAGUCCCUCUGCCCUAAAUAUUUGAGGUAACACUUCCCCCCCCCCCCCUCAGUUUCACACUCGCACUGGCCCUCUCCGUCAGCCCCUCGGGUUUAAAACCUUUCAAACUGUAAACUUCAGAUUGAGGGGGGAGUCUUGUGUCGAAUAGAAAGUAGAAAGAAAACUAGGAGGAAAACUACGCUGUACAGCAGCACCACCAGGUUAGGAGGUUAAAAGGUCAAAGGUCUUUUCUGAUGGCCCUUAUCUGACUGAACAGGAAAGCGGGGAGCUUGUUGAGGACUGUCCAAGUGGCAGAGGGGUGGUGGGAGGUAGGUCCGCGCGCGCACACACACACACACACACACACACACACACACACACACAGAGCUGCGUGCGUGUCGGGAGUGUUUCAGUGCCCUCAGGCCGAUGUCUCUGGUGUGUGUCAGGAGGAGCCCGGAAGAAGAAGAAAGCAGGAUAACAUGUCGUGUGACUGGAUAGAAGUCUACAAGGUUGCCGUUAGCGAAAACGCACGGGCCUGGAGCGCGUAGAGGGGAAGGGGAAGGGAGGGGGGGGGGGGGGGGGGGAGGAGACAUACAAGGACCAACAGGCUGCAGGGCAGAGGGGGUUUAAGGAAGAGAGAGAGAGGGGGAUGAAGGAGGAGGAGGGAUAGAUUGAUAACAGAGGCAGGUGUAGCCCAGACCAAAGCUAAGCACCCUUUUUUGUUGUUUUUUUUUUAAAUUUUUUAAAAAGAAAGAAAGAAAGAAAAAACACCAAACUAGGUUUCUCAUCUCUCCAAACCUCAGGUCUUCCCCUUUAGUUAGUAAUGAUGCACUGUGGAUCCCCUAUCCUGGAGGAGGAGAACAAAGCCCUUCCUCUGCACCCUCUUCAAAAAAAACCGAUCUAUCCACCCCGGGGUCCACACCACGUCCUGCGUCCACCAUGGAUGACAGGUGGAGUGGGAUUCCACAACAGAGUUACAAAAAAGAAAACAACACAAAGAAUCAAUCAUUGUAUAAAAGAAAAUUAGAAAAAAAAACGAUAACAAAAGCACGUCAAUUUCCCCCAAUCCCAUAAUCCAAUCCCACUUUCUAACACCAUCUGCACACACGCACACACACACACACACACACACACACACAGCAGUUUUGGGAGAGAUCAGACAGAAAGGUGCCAAGGUGCUGGCCCACGGCUGUGGACACUCACCCGAAGGUGCUUAAGUUUCUUUUUCAAAAACUCCCUCUCUCUCCCUCUGUGUGUGUGAGAGAGAAAAAGGUGACAUGGUUUUUUUUAGAAAAAUGAAGACAAAAAAGGUUUCUCAAGAUACAGGAGCCUCAGCUCAAUCAGAAUUACAAUGUCUAUCAAAGUCUCAUUCUUUUCAAUAACAUCUGUGCUUUCCCAGUACCCUAAACCCCACACACACCCAUAUAACACAUCAGGUCACUCAUCAUUUUGACAUUAAAAUGGUAUUUAAAAAAAAAAAAAAUUGAAAUCUUUUAAAAAUAUUUGAAUACAAAGUGUUGAUUUGGGAUAUCAAUAUUAAAUAUUCUCUCCUAUAAUCUUUUUUAUUAUUAUUUUUAAAUAGUGAUGCCUCCUGCGGUCCAACCGCCCCAGGUCACUAUGAAAAAAAAGCAGCAGUCUCAGACACUGGCCAUACAAUUGACAUUAGAAAAACCCGUCUGGGUCAUUGGCAUUUGGCACCCUCAUUCAAACGAGGAUCACUCACUGGUGUGGCGCCUAUUUUUGGGCUAGGAAUUUUGGUGUCAAAACAAAGGAGAAAAAAAAGACAAAAGAUUCAAACAAUUCAUCAGGUGCUUGGGUUAUCUCUGUGCUUUUCUACAGCAUGGAGGUCCGCCUUCCACAAAGCGUUCCCUGCCUCACUCCACUCCACUCAGAGGGGUGGGCUAACAUGCCCCCCCAGACCAGUGGACAAGGCAGACCGAAAGCCACCUUUUCUGGGGCGGGGGGUGCUGCUGCCCUCUGCUGGGCUGAUGUAGCACUUCAGCUACGUCCACACCACCCAGCUCUCACGGCCCAACCUUCAUGCCCAUUUCAUACAGAGUGCUGGCCAACACACCCCUCUCCCCUCUCCCCUCUCCUUUCUUAUUGAUUGAAAUCCAAUGACGCAAGUAGAUCGUUUUUUCUUUUAAAAGCAAUAAAUACAUUCUUAUCAGACAGGGUGAGAACGACACCCUGCAGUGCUUCAUAAUUCCGCCUCCCUGUCUGCCUUUUCCUUACAAACCCCCCCCCCCCCCCCAUCCUAAACAAUUCCGCACAGAGUCUUCAAGCCUCUCUCCCAGCUUUGAAAUGAAUCCCUCCCAACUCGGGUCAAUUCUUCAGUCGUACUCCAUGUGGAAAUAUGUGGUUCUCUUUUGCCUUUCUAGCAGGUGCACAUUUUUUUGUAUCGUUCCUCUAUACUGUAACUUGGCAACGCUAUCUUUCGGGUUAAUGUGGAAUUAGUAGCAAAUCUCUUCACAAACGUAGCACUACUUUCACUAUAAUCUGUGUUGGAGAGAAAACAAGCAAUAAGAAUGGUUAAGUUAAAAAAAAAAGAAUGGAAGAAAAACGGAACUACUUAAGUCUGAAAUUCUACAAAAGCUCCCCCUUGACGGUUUUCCUUUCUUUUUGGACCAAAAAAAUAAAAAAUGGCGCCUUCUGGCAUCUUUUGUGCUCAGUGUUUUGUGAUUUCACAUUCCUUCUCUUAUCCUUUUACCUUUCUUUUCCUUUUCAGUAUUUCAGUAGCAAUCUCCACAUGAGCCACGCCGAGCUUCUUCAAUCUAUUAUUUUCUCCAAAU
This is a long non-coding RNA of Clupea harengus (Atlantic herring), 3319 nucleotides long. NCBI's taxonomy places the organism in Eukaryota, Metazoa, Chordata, Actinopteri, Clupeiformes, Clupeidae. The record is from Ensembl.